RNAcentral lists this ribosomal RNA (587 nucleotides) under uncultured bacterium. RNAcentral describes it as "bacterial SSU rRNA". It matches the Rfam family "Bacterial small subunit ribosomal RNA", at positions 338 to 916 of the family's 1533-position model. The record is from RNAcentral.
CCUACGGGAGGCAGCAGUAGGGAAUCUUCCGCAAUGGACGAAAGUCUGACGGAGCAACGCCGCGUGAGCGAUGAAGGCCUUCGGGUCGUAAAGCUCUGUUGUCAGGGAAGAACAAGUACCGGAGUAACUGCCGGUACCUUGACGGUACCUGACCAGAAAGCCACGGCUAACUACGUGCCAGCAGCCGCGGUAAUACGUAGGUGGCAAGCGUUGUCCGGAAUUAUUGGGCGUAAAGCGCGCGCAGGUGGUUUCUUAAGUCUGAUGUGAAAGCCCACGGCUCAACCGUGGAGGGUCAUUGGAAACUGGGGAACUUGAGUGCAGAAGAGGAUAGUGGAAUUCCAAGUGUAGCGGUGAAAUGCGUAGAGAUUUGGAGGAACACCAGUGGCGAAGGCGACUGUCUGGUCUGUAACUGACACUGAGGCGCGAAAGCGUGGGGAGCAAACAGGAUUAGAUACCCUGGUAGUCCACGCCGUAAACGAUGAGUGCUAAGUGUUAGGGGGUUUCCGCCCCUUAGUGCUGCAGCUAACGCAUUAAGCACUCCGCCUGGGGAGUACGAUCGCAAGAUUGAAACUCAAAGGAAUUGACGG